AAACUUGAAAAAUGAGAAGAGUAUGCUAUAUUUGUGAGAAUAAUGGUAAGAGGUGCAUGUAUGUAUAUUGGAUUGUAAAUUUGAGUGCACAUUCGUAAGUGUUUGAAUGAACAUAUAUGUUAUGUUGAGUUGGUGGGACUGUUUAAAUGUAAGUGUUAGACGAUGUAUACUUACUUGAAUAAUAUUGGUUGUUAUGAAAUCAUUGCAUGUGUAUGAUGGUGUAUACACU
Molecule: long non-coding RNA, 229 nt
Filed under: Vigna radiata
Lineage: Eukaryota; Viridiplantae; Streptophyta; Magnoliopsida; Fabales; Fabaceae
Description: long non-coding RNA (VRAD_LNC008812)
Source: RNAcentral